CAGAUGCAAUGGCACCGAAAAAAAUAGUGAAUCCACUUAUGAAGCCAACAAUCGAAUCUAGCAAGUAUCUCCUUAAUGAAGAACUAUAGAUCUGCUGGGGUUGAGGCAGAAAAGAAUAGAAUGGGUGGCUUUUUGAAGGCACUGAUCUGGGUGUGAAACUAAAAUAGGGAGUGUUUUUUUGUGAGAACAAGUGCUGAUUUUUUUUCCUUCAGAGAGCAAAUAGCGUGAGUUUUAUAUGGAGAG
This 243-nucleotide unclassified non-coding RNA is filed under the name Hevea brasiliensis (rubber tree). Lineage: Eukaryota; Viridiplantae; Streptophyta; Magnoliopsida; Malpighiales; Euphorbiaceae. The record is from RNAcentral.